GGCGAGAGUAGUACUAGGAU
RNAcentral lists this small nuclear RNA (20 nucleotides) under Arabidopsis thaliana (thale cress). RNAcentral describes it as "snRNA_00630". The record is from RNAcentral. Lineage: Eukaryota; Viridiplantae; Streptophyta; Magnoliopsida; Brassicales; Brassicaceae.